RNAcentral lists this ribosomal RNA (463 nucleotides) under uncultured bacterium. Its description in RNAcentral is "bacterial SSU rRNA". It matches the Rfam family "Bacterial small subunit ribosomal RNA", at positions 28 to 507 of the family's 1533-position model. The record is from RNAcentral.
GAUGAACGCUAGCGGCGUGCCUAACACAUGCAAGUCGAACGUGAGAGGGUACUUGUAUCCUUGAAAGUGGCGGACGGGUGAGUAAGACGUAGGUGACCUGCCUUGAAGUGGGGGAUAACCAUUGGAAACGAUGGCUAAUACCGCAUAAGCUGGUGAUGAUGGGAAUCGUUAUCAGGAAAGCUUUAGUGCUUUGAGAGGGGCCUACGGCCGAUUAGCUAGUUGGUGAGGUAAAGGCUCACCAAGGCGAUGAUCGGUAGCUGGUCUGAGAGGACGAUCAGCCACACGGGAACUGAGACACGGUCCCGACUCCUACGGGGGGGCAGCAGUGAGGAAUAUUCGGCAAUGGGGGGCAACCCUGACCGAGCAACGCCGCGUGGAGGAUGACGGUUUUCGGAUUGUAAACUCCUUUUCUCAGGGAAGAGCGAGGACGGUACCUGGGGAAUAAGUCACGGCUAACUACGUG